UCGCCUGUUUAUCAAAAACAUCGCCUCUUGAAAAAUAUAAGAGGUCCAGCCUGCCCAGUGACUCUGUUCAACGGCCGCGGUAUCCUAACCGUGCGAAGGUAGCGUAAUCACUUGUUCUUUAAAUGAGGACUAGUAUGAAAGGCAUCACGAGGGUUAUACUGUCUCCUUUUUCUAAUUAGUGAAACUAAUCUCCCCGUGAAGAAGCGGGGAUCUUUAUAUAAGACGAGAAGACCCUAUGGAGCUUUAAAUAAUAUAACAAUUGCUACUUUAUUUCUACUAACCUUAUAUUAUUUAGCAAUAUGAUUAUUAAUUUUUGGUUGGGGUGACCGCGGAGCAUAACACAACCUCCACAUUGAAAGGAUGCUACUCCUAAGCUAAAAGCAACAACUUUAUGCAUCAAUAAAUUGACAUCAAUUGACCCAAUAUAUUUGAUCAACGAACCAAGUUACCCUAGGGAUAACAGCGCAAUCUACUUUAAGAGCCCAUAUCGACAAGUAGGUUUACGACCUCGAUGUUGGAUCAGGGUAUCCUAGUGGUGCAGCCGCUACUAAUGGUUCGUUUGUUCAACGAUUAAAACCCUACGUGAUCUGAGUUCAGACGGGA
Molecule: ribosomal RNA, 603 nt
Filed under: Thoropa miliaris (rock river frog)
Lineage: Eukaryota; Metazoa; Chordata; Amphibia; Anura; Cycloramphidae
Description: partial 16S ribosomal RNA
Rfam family: Bacterial large subunit ribosomal RNA
Source: RNAcentral